AUUGAACGCUGGCGGCAGGCCUAACACAUGCAAGUCGAGCGGAGCGGCGGACGGGUGAGUAAUGCCUGGGAAUCUGCCUGGUAGUGGGGGAUAACGUCCGGAAACGGGCGCUAAUACCGCAUACUAUCAGAUGAGCCUAGGUCGGAUUAGCUAGGUGGUGAGGUAAUUGCUCACCAAGGCUACGAGCCGUAACUGGUCUGAGAGGAUGAUCAGUCACACUGGAACUGAGACACGGUCCAGACUCCUACGGGGGGCAGCAGUGGGGAAUAUUGGACAAUGGGCGAAAGCCUGAUCCAGCCAUGCCGCGUGUGUGAAGAAGGUCUUCAGAUUGUAAAGCACUUUAAGUUGGGAGGCGUUACCGACAGAAUAAGCACCGGCUAACUCUGUGCCAGCAGCCGCGGUAAUUC
This 407-nucleotide ribosomal RNA is filed under the name uncultured bacterium. Its description in RNAcentral is "partial 16S ribosomal RNA". It matches the Rfam family "Bacterial small subunit ribosomal RNA", at positions 30 to 526 of the family's 1533-position model. The record is from RNAcentral.